UACGUAGGUGGCAAGCGUUGUCCGGAUUUACUGGGCGUAAAGAGCGCGCAGGCGGUCGUUCAAGUCGCGUGUGAAAGCCCCCGGCUCAACUGGGGAGGGUCACGCGAUACUGAUCGACUCGAAGGCAGGAGAGGGUAGUGGAAUUCCCGGUGUAGUGGUGAAAUGCGUAGAUAUCGGGAGGAACACCAGUGGCGAAGGCGACUAUCUGGGCUGCAACUGACGCUGAGGCGCGAAGGCUAGGGUAGCAAACAGG
RNAcentral lists this ribosomal RNA (253 nucleotides) under uncultured bacterium. RNAcentral's name for it is "partial 16S ribosomal RNA". It matches the Rfam family "Bacterial small subunit ribosomal RNA", at positions 524 to 776 of the family's 1533-position model. The record is from RNAcentral.